This 143-nucleotide non-coding RNA is filed under the name Moraxella caviae. Its description in RNAcentral is "Glycine sequence". It matches the Rfam family "Glycine riboswitch aptamer". From Rfam's summary of the family: This family represents the bacterial glycine riboswitch. Glycine riboswitches usually consist of two metabolite-binding aptamers domains with similar structures in tandem. The record is from Rfam by way of RNAcentral. Lineage: Bacteria; Pseudomonadati; Pseudomonadota; Gammaproteobacteria; Moraxellales; Moraxellaceae.
AUUAACCACUCUGGAGAGCGUGCAGCUGGCAAAUUUUUCCACCGAUUUGGCAGGCGCACCACCGAAGGGAAAAAGACAAGCGGUAGGUUUGGCGACUUGUGCCGCUUGACGAAAAUCUCAGGUAACAGGACAGAUGGGGUGUU